This 777-nucleotide ribosomal RNA is filed under the name uncultured Neocallimastigales. RNAcentral's name for it is "partial large subunit ribosomal RNA". It matches the Rfam family "Eukaryotic large subunit ribosomal RNA", at positions 24 to 627 of the family's 3401-position model. Lineage: Eukaryota; Fungi; Neocallimastigomycota; Neocallimastigomycetes; Neocallimastigales. The record is from RNAcentral.
UAUCUCUGUAGAGUCUGCAUAUCAAUAAGCGGAGGAAAAGAAACUAACAAGGAUUCCCCUAGUAACGGCGAGUGAAGCGGGAAGAGCUCAAAUUUGAAAUCUUAAAGGGGUUUCCCUUUACGAAUUGUAGUUUAAAGAAGUGUUUUCUGUUGGUGUUUUGGUAAAAGUUCUUUGGAAUAGGACAUCAUAGAGGGUGAGAAUCUCGUAUUUGACCUUUACUUUCAACUUUGUGAUACACUUUCAAAGAGUCGGAUUGUUUGGGAAUGCAGUCCAAAAUGGGUGGUAAAUUUCAUCUAAAGCUAAAUACUGGCGAGGAGACCGAUAGCGAACAAGUACCGUGAGGGAAAGAUGAAAAGAACUUUGAAAAGAGAGUUAAACAGUACGUGAAAUUGUCAAAAGGGAAGCGUUUGACACCAGUGUUGUUUUCUCGAAAAUCAAUUAAAAAAGGCAGGAUUUUGUGUUGUAUUGACUUUAUCAGCUUUCUGCACUCUUUUCUUGUCUUUUUUAAUGCACUUUUCGUUUAACAAGUCAACAUCAAUUUCUUUUGUUGUAAAAGAGUCAUUGGAAGGUGGCUUUCACUUCGGUGAAAGUGUUUAUAGCCAUUGGCCUCUGCAAUCGGAGGAGAUUGAGGUCUGCAGCGUAGAUCCUUCGGGGUUAGAUACAUUUGUGCUAAGUUAUAGCCUUUCAUAGACAACUUGUUGACUAUGAUCAGUCAUGUAGCUUACUCGCUUAUGCUAUUUUACCUACGCUUAGGAUGUUGACGAUCAGCUGAGCGCG